UGCGUAGGCGGGCUAAUAAGUCAGUGGUGAAAUCUCUCGGCUCAACCGGGAAACUGCCAUUGAUACUGUUAGUCUUGAGUUCGGUUGAGGUAGGCGGAAUGUGUAAUGUAGCGGUGAAAUGCUUAGAUAUUACACAGAACACCAAUUGCGUAGUCAGCUUACUAGACCGACACUGACGCUGAGGCACGAAAGCGUGGGGAGCGAACAGGAUUAGAUACCCUGGUAGUCC
Molecule: ribosomal RNA, 229 nt
Filed under: uncultured bacterium
Lineage: Bacteria
Description: partial 16S ribosomal RNA
Rfam family: Bacterial small subunit ribosomal RNA
Source: RNAcentral